Molecule: ribosomal RNA, 253 nt
Filed under: uncultured bacterium
Lineage: Bacteria
Description: partial 16S ribosomal RNA
Rfam family: Bacterial small subunit ribosomal RNA
Source: RNAcentral
UACGAAGGGGGCUAGCGUUGUUCGGAUUUACUGGGCGUAAAGCGCACGUAGGCGGAUUGUUAAGUCAGGGGGGAAAUCCUGGAGCUCAACUCCAGAACUGCCUUUGAUACUGGCAAUCUUGAGUCCGGAAGAGGUGAGUGGAACUCCUAGUGUAGAGGUGGAAUUCGUAGAUAUUAGGAAGAAUACCAGUGGCGAAGGCGGCUCACUGGUCCGGUACUGACGCUGAAGUGCGAAAGCGUGGGGAGCAAACAGG